GAUGAACGCUGGCUGCGUGCUUAACACAUGCAAGUCGAACGGAAAGGCUCCUGCUUGCAGGGGUACUCGAGUGGCGAACGUGUGAGUAACACGUGGGUGAUCUGCCCUGCACUUCGGGAUAAGCCUGGGAAACUGGGUCUAAUACCGGAUAGGACCACAUUUUGGAUGGUGUGGUGGAAAGUUUUUCGGUGUGGGAUGAGCUCGCGGCCUAUCAGCUUGUUGGUGGGGUAAUGGCCUACCAAGGCGUCGACGGGUAGCCGGCCUGAGAGGGUGUACGGCCACAUUGGGACUGAGAUACGACCCAGACUACCACGGGAGGCAGAAGUGGGGAAUAUUGCACAAUGGGCGCAAGACUGAUGCAGCGACGCCGCGUGGGGGAUGACGGCAUUAGGGUUGUAAACUCCUUUCGCUAGGGACGAAGCGUUUUUGUGAAGGUAACUGGAGAAGAAGCACCGGCUAACUACGUG
This 467-nucleotide ribosomal RNA is filed under the name uncultured bacterium. RNAcentral's name for it is "partial 16S ribosomal RNA". It matches the Rfam family "Bacterial small subunit ribosomal RNA", at positions 28 to 507 of the family's 1533-position model. The record is from RNAcentral.